This 450-nucleotide ribosomal RNA is filed under the name uncultured bacterium. Its description in RNAcentral is "bacterial SSU rRNA". It matches the Rfam family "Bacterial small subunit ribosomal RNA", at positions 354 to 796 of the family's 1533-position model. The record is from RNAcentral.
GUGGGGAAUUUUGGACAAUGGGGGCAACCCUGAUCCAGCCAUGCCGCGUGCGGGAAGAAGGCCUUCGGGUUGUAAACCGCUUUUGUCAGGGAAGAAAUCCUUUGGGUUAAUAUCUCGGAGGGAUGACGGUACCUGAAGAAUAAGCACCGGCUAACUACGUGCCAGCAGCCGCGGUAAUACGUAGGGUGCGAGCGUUAAUCGGAAUUACUGGGCGUAAAGCGUGCGCAGGCGGUUUUGUAAGAUCGAUGUGAAAUCCCCGGGCUCAACCUGGGAACUGCAUUGGUGACUGCAAGGCUGGAGUGCGGCAGAGGGGGAUGGAAUUCCGCGUGUAGCAGUGAAAUGCGUAGAUAUGCGGAGGAACACCGAUGGCGAAGGCAAUCCCCUGGGCCUGCACUGACGCUCAUGCACGAAAGCGUGGGGAGCAAACAGGAUUAGAUACCCGAGUAGUCC